UGCAAGAGGAGUACCUGGACCAGGUAUACGGGCAGAUGUGCUUUAAGAUAGUUAAAGCACCGAGAGGAGCAGUGAUUUCUUCAUAACUCACCAGAUCUCUCGCACAGUUGGACUAGAGAAUCUCAUUAAGACCAAUAAUAGAAAAUGUCUGGUGUAAUGAAACUGUUUGGAAAAGACGACAAAGACAAGGAUAUGCACAAAGAUAAAGACAAGGAUAAAGCCAAGAAGCAUGGAGAGACAAAAGA
This is a long non-coding RNA of Xenopus laevis (African clawed frog), 245 nucleotides long. RefSeq lists it as uncharacterized. The record is from RefSeq and is a predicted model, not a curated record. The transcript has 4 exons. Lineage: Eukaryota; Metazoa; Chordata; Amphibia; Anura; Pipidae.